Molecule: ribosomal RNA, 460 nt
Filed under: uncultured bacterium
Lineage: Bacteria
Description: partial 16S ribosomal RNA
Rfam family: Bacterial small subunit ribosomal RNA
Source: RNAcentral
CCUACGGGGGGCAGCAGGGAGGAAUAUUGGUCAAUGGACGAGAGUCUGAACCAGCCAAGUAGCGUGAAGGAUGACUGCCCUAUGGGUUGUAAACUUCUUUUAUAUGGGAAUAAAAUGUUCCACGUGUGGGAUUUUGUAUGUACCAUAUGAAUAAGGAUCGGCUAACUCCGUGCCAGCAGCCGCGGUAAUACGGAGGAUCCGAGCGUUAUCCGGAUUUAUUGGGUUUAAAGGGAGCGUAGGUGGAUUGUUAAGUCAGUUGUGAAAGUUUGCGGCUCAACCGUAAAAUUGCAGUUGAAACUGGCAGUCUUGAGUACAGUAGAGGUGGGCGGAAUUCGUGGUGUAGCGGUGAAAUGCUUAGAUAUCACGAAGAACUCCGAUUGCGAAGGCAGUUCACUGGACUGCAACUGACACUGAGGCUCGAAAGUGUGGGUAUCAAACAGGAUUAGAUACCCCAGUAGUC